GUGAGUGGACAGAAAAAAGAACCAAAGACGGUUAGCUGACAGAAAAAUAGGAAGAUGCAACCAAGAGAAGAUACCUGCCCCGAAACCCGAGUACCUAGGAGACUGCUCUACUCUGAAGAAGGCUUCAUGCAGCCCAGGUGAGGCCGCUGAGUACUGUUGAGAAGGCAGUUGAAGUUGCCGCCAGUGACCCUCUGCAGAAAAU
Non-coding RNA from Leptonychotes weddellii (Weddell seal), 202 nucleotides. The record is from RefSeq and is a predicted model, not a curated record. Lineage: Eukaryota; Metazoa; Chordata; Mammalia; Carnivora; Phocidae.